Long non-coding RNA from Carassius carassius (crucian carp), 250 nucleotides. RefSeq lists it as uncharacterized. The transcript has 3 exons. The record is from RefSeq and is a predicted model, not a curated record. Lineage: Eukaryota; Metazoa; Chordata; Actinopteri; Cypriniformes; Cyprinidae.
GUUUGUUUUUUGUUUUUGUAGAUGUUAAAAGCCAGAGACAUGGGAGAGCAUCAUUCUUUUGAGAUUUUAUAACUCAAACCAACUUUGGAGUUGUCUUCUCUGAUUUGGAGAGUCAUCAUUCUUGGUCUUCCCCCUUAAAGGCCGCUGAUGAAAAGCAGGCGGUGACUGGAUGAAUGCUGGUCAAAGAAGAGCACGUCCUUUCCCCUAAACUGAUGCAGCAGUGGUUUUAAAGGAGGACGGUGCUCUGGAU